GCAAGGAUGAUGACUGAAACUUUUUUCCCCAGCAUAUCGACAAUGCUGAGCUAAUUGCUUAAGCCAAACAAGUCUGACUUGC
This 82-nucleotide small nucleolar RNA is filed under the name Leptobrachium leishanense (Leishan spiny toad). RNAcentral describes it as "Small nucleolar SNORD12/SNORD106 (ENSLLEG00000025422.1)". It matches the Rfam family "Small nucleolar SNORD12/SNORD106". From Rfam's summary of the family: This family belong to the C/D class of snoRNA which contain the C (UGAUGA) and D (CUGA) box motifs. This family includes the human ortholog of mouse snoRNA HBII-99 and human snoRNA U106. Lineage: Eukaryota; Metazoa; Chordata; Amphibia; Anura; Megophryidae. The record is from Rfam by way of RNAcentral.